This 396-nucleotide ribosomal RNA is filed under the name uncultured delta proteobacterium. RNAcentral's name for it is "bacterial SSU rRNA". It matches the Rfam family "Bacterial small subunit ribosomal RNA", at positions 42 to 446 of the family's 1533-position model. The record is from RNAcentral. Lineage: Bacteria; Deltaproteobacteria.
GCGCGCUUAACACAUGCAAGUCGCACGAGAAAGCUCCUUCGGGAGUUAGUAGAGUGGCGAACGGGUGANUAACGCGUAAGUAUCUACCCUUGGGUGAAGGAUACCUUCUGGAAACGGAAGUUAAUCCUGCAUAAGCUUUACGAAGGAAAGGUGGCCUCUCGCUACCGCCGAAGGAUGAACUUGCGUACUAUUAGCUAGUUGGUGGGGUAAUAGCCUACCAAGGCGAUGAUGGUUAGCCGGCCUGAGAGGGUGUACGGCCACACUGGGACUGAGAUACGGCCCAGACUCCUACGGGAGGCAGCAGUGGGGAAUUUUGUGCAAUGGGCGAAAGCCUGACACAGCGACGCCGCGUGGAGGAUGAAGGUUUUCGGAUCGUAAACUCCUGUUAAAUAGGAA